RNAcentral lists this ribosomal RNA (27 nucleotides) under Thuarea involuta. RNAcentral describes it as "partial 26S ribosomal RNA". The record is from RNAcentral. Lineage: Eukaryota; Viridiplantae; Streptophyta; Magnoliopsida; Poales; Poaceae.
CGCGACCCCAGGUCAGACGGGACUACC